GACAAAACAAAAAAAAGCUGCAAGGAGAGCAAAGUCUGAGAAGAUGUUCGAACUCAGUCAACCCCAAGGGUUCCACAUGUCACAUGCACUUGGGAUGCCAGGGAAAAGCUAAUCAAAAGAUUUACCUGCGGAUCGACUGCAGCUUCUCCGAUUUUAGCGGGAUGGUCUAGUGCUCUUAAUCAACAAAAAAUCCGACGAAGUCGUAGUGCUCGAACGCACUAUUUCUUUUACAGCUCACAAAUGCGCUCCAAGCGAUAGCACCUUUUAGGGGACCCAACAGAUCCGACGAAUGCGAUUCCAAACGUAACACCAAAUAAAAGGUUGCUAAAACGAACUGCAAAAGAGGAAAGCACUAACCCCCAACACCAUUCAACACGGAGUACCAAAGCAAAAUGGAUUCCCUUCCACCUGCGAUGACGUGGCAAGGUAACGAAGCGAGAGUUCACGGAAGUUUGGCCCCCUAGUGGCAAACUUACGAAACGUCGAAUUCCGACGAAAAUCCCUAAUCGAUGUAACUAAUGAGUGGAUGCGAUGGUUAUUACAAAAGAAAAAAAAAACAAACAAGGCUAUCAAGAUUCCAGAAAUGACGAAGACUCUAGGGGACGCUCCACGGCGUUUGUUCCCACCUAGAGUGAAGCUCUGGGAUGGCGCGAUCCAUCCAGUUCCUUAUAGCAAGAACCAAGCUGAAACGAUCCAGAAGACCGAUCUACAACAGCGAGGCUGAAACACUCAUCUGAGCCCCUCCAAGCUCAGAAUCAUCGCGACAGUCUUGCGACUGGGGGAGUCAAAAGCUCGGGACGAACCCUCCACCAAAGUUGUCCUUCAUUGCCAUCGUGCCCAACCCAACCACCCAUUGCACGAAAUGACGAAACGAAAAAAAAAACGAGUAAACAAAAUGUAAUCCGAUCCGAGAAUGCCAAUAAAAACCGAAAUAGCUACGGCGAAUUUUCAAUUCGUAACAAAGUUUUCAUUAAUGAGUUCAGUGCUUCAUACGGAAACUC
This is a long non-coding RNA of Zophobas morio, 1001 nucleotides long. RefSeq lists it as uncharacterized. The record is from RefSeq and is a predicted model, not a curated record. The transcript is spliced from 3 exons. Lineage: Eukaryota; Metazoa; Arthropoda; Insecta; Coleoptera; Tenebrionidae.